RNAcentral lists this ribosomal RNA (496 nucleotides) under uncultured bacterium. Its description in RNAcentral is "partial 16S ribosomal RNA". It matches the Rfam family "Bacterial small subunit ribosomal RNA", at positions 28 to 506 of the family's 1533-position model. The record is from RNAcentral.
GAUGAACGCUGGCGGCGUGCCUAAUACAUGCAAGUCGAGCGAACAGACGAGGAGCUUGCUCCUCUGACGUUAGCGGCGGACGGGUGAGUAACACGUGGAUAACCUACCUAUAAGACUGGGAUAACUUCGGGAAACCGGAGCUAAUACCGGAUAAUAUAUUGAACCGCAUGGGUCAAUAGUGAAAGACGGUUUUGCUGUCACUUAUAGAUGGAUCCGCGCCGCAUUAGCUAGUUGGUAAGGUAACGGCUUACCAAGGCAACGAUGCGUAGCCGACCUGAGAGGGUGAUCGGCCACACUGGAACUGAGACACGGUCCAGACUCCUACGGGAGGCAGCAGUAGGGAAUCUUCCGCAAUGGGCGAAAGCCUGACGGAGCAACGCCGCGUGAGUGAUGAAGGUCUUCGGAUCGUAAAACUCUGUUAUUAGGAAAGAACAAAUGUGUAAGUAAAUAUGCACGUCUGGACGGUACCUAAUCAGAAGGCCACGGCAAACUACGG